GCCAACAAGGCAUAUAUACGUAAAUAUGCAUAAUACGGUGGGCGAGCUGGCAAGGCUACUAUAGCCAACUACACAUCCAAUAACUGAAAGCCGACAAUGCCACAUACAACCCAACUAGACAUACUAUCUACAUACCUCUAAUAAAAACAUAAUUGUACAAAGACGGGACUGAGCCACAUCAUACCUAUAUAUAUAUCUAUAUAUAUAUACAAACGUAUCGUACCAAAAUCAAAGUAGCUCCAGAUCAAGUGGAGCACGCCAACUCUCGCUGAUCAGGUAUCCUAAGAAGGGGGACCGUCAACUUGCCUACCUGCACCUGCGGGCAUAGAACGCAGGCCCCAUGAAAUAGGGCGUCAGUACGUAAAAUGUACUGAGUAUGUAAGGCAUGAAAAUUAGUACGUAAAAUACAUAGAUGAAACAAGGAAUAAGGAAACACAUAUUUAAAUCUGAAUAACUUUGUAAAUUUUAAAAUGUUUAUAAUGUCAUGCACAUGUGUAUAAAUGUCGUGCCAUGCAUAGGUAUGGGUGUACUGUAACGACCCGACCGACCAUUUUGAGCUUUUGCACUUUGCUCGCCAGUUCUCGGGCAUGACUUGCCCCGUGUGAUGUAUUAUGACUUAUGUGAAUCGUUGGUUUUGGUUUUCAGGGUAAUCAAAAUGAAUUUGGAAGAAACAGUCCUCAGUUGAAGCUUGAAAUUUGAAAGGUUUGACCAAGAUUUGACUUGUUUGUACAUGAUCUCGGAUCAGAAAUUUUAUGAUUUGGUUAGCUCCGUUGGGUGAUUUAGGACUUAAUAGCAUGAUCGGAAUACAUUUUGGAAGUCCGUGGAAGGUUUAGGCUUGAAUUGGCGAAAUUGAGGUUUUGGCAUUUUCCGGUUGAUAGGUGAGAUUUUGAUAUAGGGGUCGAAAUGGAUUUUAGGAAGUUGUAGUAAUUCCGUUGUGUCAUUUGGGAUGUGUGUGAAAAAUUUCAGGUCAUUUGGACGUGGCUUGGUUGGCUUUUUGAUCAAAAGCGUAAUCUAGAAGGUUUUGGAAUUCUUAGGCUUGAAUCCGAUGCGAAUUUGGUAUUUUGAUGUUGUUUUGAGCGUUUCGAAUGUUGUAAAAAGUUUGAAUGAGGUUAUGAGAUAUGUUGGCAUGUUUGGUUGAGGUCCUGAGGGCCUCGAGUGAGUUUCGGGUGGUCAAUCAGACCAUUUCAUAUUUUGCAAAGUUGAAGAAAAUUUCUGUUCAGUGUUGUAGGCAUUUGGCCUUCGCGUUCGCGAGUAGGGCCUCGCGUUCGCGAAGGGUUAGCUGGUGAGGUGGAGAUUUUAGCCUUUGCGUUCGCGAGGGAGGCUCCGUGUUCGCGAAGGGCUGGGUUCGUUGUGCAUCGCGUUCGCGAGGGAGGCUCCGCGUUCGCGUAGGGGAAGUGAGCAGCUGGGUUUGAGGAUUUAUUUGUUCUUCGCGUUCACGGAAAGGGAGUCGUGUUCGCGUUGGGUUAGGGAGCCAAGUCUUCGCGUUCAGGAGUGGUAGGACGCGUUCGCGGUGAAGGAAAUUUGGUCAAAGUAAUUUUGUGCUUCGCGAAUGCGAGGCUUUGAUUGCGUUUGCGAAGAAGGAUUUUUAUGCCUGGGUAAAAUGAUUUAAAAGGGUUAUUCCGUGAUUUUGAGGCUAAGUACCUCCAUUGUUGGGCAAUUUUGAAGCUUGGGAGAGCUAAUUUAAGAGGUAAUUCAAGAGGAUUUCAUGGAGGUAAGAUUUUUGGACACUAAACUUGAUUCUAUGAUGAAUUCUAUCAUUGUAAGCUUGAAAUCCAUGGAAACAAAUCAGUAGCAAAAAUGGGUAAUUAGGGCUUGAGAUUAAGAGACCUUUGAGUGGGGAUUUGAGGUUCUAUUUUGAUGUUCUUGAUAUGUAUAGACUCGUGUGAGGAUGAGGAUUCCAUUGAUGUUAAUUUUAUCGGAUUUCGGCACGUGGGCCCAGGGGCCGAGUUUGAGAAUUUUUGGGAUUUUGAUGUAAAAUUGGAUAUUUUUGAGUGGGCUUCGUUCCCUUUGCAUAUUUUAAUGAUUAUAUAUUGAUUGUGGCUAGAUUUGGAGCAUCCGGAGGUUGAUUCGUGCGGGCAAGGCAUCGCGGGCUAGAGUUUGGAUCGGAUCGAGGUGAGUAAUGAUUGUAAAUGAUGUUCUGAGGGUUUUAAACCCCGGAUUGCACAUCGUAGUGCUAUAUUGAAGUGAGACACACACUUGAAGACGAGCGUGGGGUCAUGCACUAUUGGGGAUUGUGACUUGGUCUGUCCCGAUUGAUGAUUUUACCGCGUAUUUGACUGAAAUCUAUUUGCUAUCAUUAUUAUUUGGGCUGAAUAUCAUAUUUGGGCUUCGUGCCAACUAGUUGAACCCUUCGGGGAUUUUUGUUGAUGUUUCCUCACUGUUUUUGAUUUUAUGCUUGAACUCAAUCAUGCUAUAUUCUACUGUUUUCAAAACUCAGCCAUGUUUACUCUGCUUUAAACUUAAAAUGAUAUUUUAAAUCAUAUUUUGGGCUGAGCAUCAUGUUUUACUGUUGCCCAAGUGGCUUAUGUGAAUUUUUACUGAGUAAGGCCAAGGGCCUGUGUUGUGAGGAUACUUUUGGGUCGGGCUGCACGCUGCAGCGGUGAUACACUGAUUUGGUUAUGAGGCUGAGGGCUUGAGAUAUGUACGCCACAAGGUGGUUUGUUGAUAUUAAUAUGAGGCCGAGAGCCUGUUUAUGAUGCCACGGGUGGCUUGAUAUUGCACUUGGGCCGUAAGGGGCCCCUCCAGGAGUCUGCACACCCCCAGUGAGCGCUGGUAUCCGUUGUGAUGUGAGAUAUAGCCCGAGGGGCUGGUAUUGUUCUAUGUGAUUGCCCGAGGGGCUGGUAUUAUUCUGAGAUAUUGCCCGAGGGGCGAAUUUGUUAAUAUUGUGCCCGAGGGGCGAAUUUGUUGAUAUUGUACCCGAGGGGCGAACCUUAUGUGCUUAUCUUUCUUAUUUGCCUGUCAUGUACCUGUUUAAUUGUGUAUUUUUGCUCGAGGAGCGGAUUUCUAUGCUUAUCUGCACUAAUUAUUUUGCAUUCAUUUGUGCAACUGUUGAAAAAGUCAUUUUCGAAGAAGUUUAAACUGAGCUAAGAUAUUUUAAGAGAUUUUACAGCUUCAUUGCUUUCUUACUGGUUUUUGAACUGCUUUUAUACAGCAUGUUGAUGCACUUUUCGUGAUUUCUUACCAUUCAGACUUUAGUUAUGAUUAUUACUCACUGAGUUGGAGUAUUCAUUUUACUCCCUGCAUCUUGUGUGCAGAUUCGGGUAUUUCUGAACCCGGUAGCGGGUAUUGGUUGAUCGGAGGCAGAGUCAUCGGAGUUUAGCAAGGUAGCUGCCGGCGUUCGCAGCACUGCUUUUCUCUCUCUGAACAUCCUUGGACUGUAUUUAGCCUAUUUCAGAACUUAGUUGUAUUUUUGACCUUAGUAGAUGCUCGUGACUUGUGACACCCCGAUGUCGGGCUGUGUUUAUUUCCGCAGUGUUCAUUUAAACUCACAUUAAGCAAUAUCUGAUUAAUUUAAAAGGCAUUAAAUUGACUUAUUAACAUUAUUGAAGUGAAUUUGGGAAUUGUGUCGGAUGGCUUUGUCUUCACGAGAGGCGCCAUCACGACCGAGUCCGGUUGGGGGUCGUGACAUGUACAUAAUAUCAUCAAGCCACUGAUGGCAUCCCAUCGUAUCAUCUCGGCCACUGUGGGCAACAUCAUCAGCAUAUACUAGCUGAUCAGGUGGUGGUGUGUAUAUAACGUCGUAGCAUUUUCCUAUAUCCCAUAUACAUAUAUUUACAUAUAUACGCGUAUAUAACACCAUCUGGUCAUGAGUCAAUGCACAUGCAUAAAUGAGUGAAAUGUAUGAAAAAUACGUAAUAAUCUCAAUAUUCCUUCCGGAUAAACUUUUUCAACCGUGUAUUAUUUUGAGACCCAUGAACAGAAGAUAAUAAUAUUUUUCAUGGGGAAUCAAGAAUAUAGACACCCCUAGUAUCUCUAUGAAUAGAAUAAUUUAUGAAAAUUGUGCGUUUGCUCGUUUCUUUAGUAUAAAUCGGAACAUGCCAUACGAAAGAAGGGAUGACUUUAACAUACCUUUUUCUUGAAUUAUUUGAACGAAUCUGCUUCUGCGAAAUAUAGAUGAAAUUCUGCUUGAAUCUCUUAAAAUUUUGAAACGAAAUUUGGUUGCUCUUUGAAAUUCCAAUCGAAAUGUUGGCUAAAGAUUUUGGACGAAAUGACUCUGCUUCUAACGUCUUUGGUUUGAAACCAAAGACAAAAUGUGCUUUCAUCUAAUGAAUUGCUUACUAAG
This 4282-nucleotide long non-coding RNA is filed under the name Nicotiana tabacum (common tobacco). RNAcentral describes it as "long non-coding RNA (NTAB_LNC019276)". Lineage: Eukaryota; Viridiplantae; Streptophyta; Magnoliopsida; Solanales; Solanaceae. The record is from RNAcentral.